Molecule: ribosomal RNA, 505 nt
Filed under: uncultured bacterium
Lineage: Bacteria
Description: bacterial SSU rRNA
Rfam family: Bacterial small subunit ribosomal RNA
Source: RNAcentral
GCGGCGUGCCUAACACAUGCAAGUCGAGCGGAGAAUGCGGAAAUGUUUACAUGGAUGUAUUCUUAGCGGCGGACGGGUGAGUAACACGUGGGUAACCUGCCUCAAAGAGGGGGAUAGCCUUCCGAAAGGAAGAUCAAUACCGCAUAAGCUUACAGCAUCGCAUGAUGCCGUAAGAAAAGGAGCAAUCCGCUUUGAGAUGGACCCGCGGCGCAUUAGCUAGUUGGUGAGGUAACGGCUCACCAAGGCCACGAUGCGUAGCCGACCUGAGAGGGUGAUCGGCCACAUUGGAACUGAGACACGGUCCAGACUCCUACGGGAGGCAGCAGUGGGGAAUAUUGCACAAUGGGCGAAAGCCUGAUGCAGCAACGCCGCGUGAGUGAUGAAGGCUUCCGAGUCGUAAAGCUCCUUGAUCAGGGAUGAUAUGACAGUACCUGAAAAACAGCCACGGCUACUACGUGCCAGCAGCCGCGGUAAUACGUAGGUGCAACGUUGUCCGGAAUACUGG